Molecule: ribosomal RNA, 253 nt
Filed under: uncultured bacterium
Lineage: Bacteria
Description: partial 16S ribosomal RNA
Rfam family: Bacterial small subunit ribosomal RNA
Source: RNAcentral
UACGAAGGGGGCUAGCGUUGCUCGGAAUUACUGGGCGUAAAGGGCGCGUAGGCGGGUGUUUAAGUCAGAGGUUAAAUCCCAGAGCUCAACUCUGGAACUGCCUUUGAUACUGGACACCUAGAGUACGGGAGAGGUGUGUGGAACUCCGAGUGUAGAGGUGAAAUUCGUAGAUAUUGGGAAGAACACCGGUGGCGAAGGCGGCGACCUGGUCCGAUACUGACGCUGAGGCGCGAAAGCGUGGGGAGCAAACAGG